UGAUAUUACUUAGACUGCAGGCUCGAACAC
This 30-nucleotide non-coding RNA is filed under the name Rattus norvegicus (Norway rat). The record is from RNAcentral. Lineage: Eukaryota; Metazoa; Chordata; Mammalia; Rodentia; Muridae.